GUGGGGAAUAUUGGACAAUGGGGGGAACCCUGAUCCAGCCAUGCCGCGUGUGUGAAGAAGGCCUUUUGGUUGUAAAGCACUUUAAGCGAGGAGGAGGCUACCGAGAUUAAUACUCUUGGAUAGUGGACGUUACUCGCAGAAUAAGCACCGGCUAACUCUGUGCCAGCAGCCGCGGUAAUACAGAGGUUGCAAGCGUGAAUCGGAUUUACUGGGCGUAAAGCGCGUGUAGGUGGCCAAUUAAGUCAAAUGUGAAAUCACCGAGCUUAACUUGGGAAUUGCAUUCGAUACUGGUUGGCUAGAGUAUGGGAGAGGAUGGUAGAAUUCCAGGUGUAGCGGUGAAAUGCGUAGAGAUCUGGAGGAAUACCGAUGGCGAAGGCAGCCAUCUGGCCUAAUACUGACACUGAGGUGCGAAAGCAUGGGGAGCAAACAGGAUUAGAAACCCUUGUAGUC
RNAcentral lists this ribosomal RNA (450 nucleotides) under uncultured bacterium. Its description in RNAcentral is "partial 16S ribosomal RNA". It matches the Rfam family "Bacterial small subunit ribosomal RNA", at positions 354 to 795 of the family's 1533-position model. The record is from RNAcentral.